ACGGCUGGUGGCGCGCGUCCUGUUAUCGGGCAGCGUAAUCGCGUUUUGCACUCAGCAUACAGAUACCCGGCCCGCCAAUGAGCGGGCUUUUUAUU
RNAcentral lists this small RNA (95 nucleotides) under Klebsiella indica. RNAcentral's name for it is "Tryptophan operon leader". It matches the Rfam family "Tryptophan operon leader". Rfam says of the family: At least 6 amino acid operons are known to be regulated by attenuation. In each a leader sequence of 150-200 bp is found upstream of the first gene in the operon. This leader sequence can assume two different secondary structures known as the terminator and the anti-terminator structure. Lineage: Bacteria; Pseudomonadati; Pseudomonadota; Gammaproteobacteria; Enterobacterales; Enterobacteriaceae. The record is from RNAcentral.